Molecule: ribosomal RNA, 460 nt
Filed under: uncultured bacterium
Lineage: Bacteria
Description: partial 16S ribosomal RNA
Rfam family: Bacterial small subunit ribosomal RNA
Source: RNAcentral
CCUACGGGAGGCUGCAGUGAGGACUAUUGGUCAAUGGACGAGAGUCUGAACCCGCCAAGUAGCAUGAAGGAUGACUGCCCUAUGGGUUGUAAACUUCUUUUAUAUGGGAAUAACAUGUUCCACGUGUGGGAUUUUGUAUGUACCCUAUGAAUAAGGAUCGGCUAACUCCGUGCCAGCAGCCGCGGUAAUACGGAGGAUCCGUGCGUUAUCCGGCUUUCUGGGGUUUAAAGUGAGAGUAGGUGGAUUGUUAAGUCAGUUGUGAAAGUUUGCGGCUCAACCGUCAAAUUGCAGUUGAAACUGGCAGUCUGGAGUACAGUAGAGGUGGGCGGAAUUCGUGGUGUAGCGGUGAAAUGCUUAGAUAUCACGAAGAACUCCGAUUGCGAAGGCAGCUCACUGGACUGAAACUGACACUGAGGCUCGAAAGUGUGGGUAUCAAACAGGAUUAGAUACCCGUGUAGUC